GCCUCGCAACUUUGUAGUACUCAACUAAAACACAUUUACAGAGAGAAUCAAACUUGAAAAUGUUAAUUCUAAAGGGAAAAGUCAUAGUUUUGACUAUAAACUAUAGUCGAAAAGUCGAAGUCAUACAUAAACUAUUAGAGUGACCUAAUACACACUUAUACUAUUUAAAAGUGAAUUUUAUUUCCACCCUAAUGCACACAGAACCAGCCACACAAUGGAAGGUGUUACACACUCGCGAACAUGUCAUCAAGUCACUGCCACGUUAGUUUUUACAUCAGAUUUCCAAAGAAAAAUUCCAAGUCACCUCAAUUGCUUUUUCUUCCCUGUCCAUCAUCAAAACCCACCAUUAAACCACCACCAUUGCCGCAUCGUCACCAAACUCAUAUCAUCGUCACCAUAGAUUUCACCACCAACAACAGCCAAAUUCACCAUUGUAAUCACCCCACCGCCACUGCUACCAUAAAAAUUUAUAAGUCAGAAUCAUAUCACCAUCAUUAUUACCACUAAAAAUUUCAAAGAGCCACCACAAAAUUCAAAACCCAUAAUCAAAGUCGAAAUUAUAUCACCACCAUUGUUACCACAAAAAGUUUCAAAGAGCCACCACAAAAUUCAACACUCAUAACCAAACUCAUCAUCAAAAUCAUAUCACAAUCAUUUUCAUCAUCAAAAAUUACAAAGAGUCACUGCACAAAUUCAACACCCGCUAUUGAAUUCACCACCACCAACAACAACCAAAUUCACCAUUGGAAUCACCCCACCACCACUGCUACUAUAAAAAUUUAUAAGUCGGAAUCAUAUCACCACCAUUGUUACCACUAAAACUUUCAAAUAGCCACACAAAAUUCAACACCCAUAAUUAAAGUUGGAAUCAUAUCACCACCAUUGUUACCACAAAAAAUCUUAAAGAGCCACCACAAAAUUCAACACCCAUAACCAAACUCAUCAUCAAAAUCAUAUCACAAUCAUUUUCAUCAUCAAAAAUUACAAAGAGUCACCGCACAAAUUCAACACCCGCUAUUGAAUUUACAUCAAAAUCACACCACAUCAAUAGAUUGUAAUAUUUAUCAAAAUUAAACCACCAUACACUGUCAAUAUUGAAAUUCGCAACAAUAAUCAUAACAAAAUUUUAUUUUCACCCCAAAUUGCUUUGCUAAAUCAUUCACCACCAGAUCCAUCAUCGUUGUCACCAUCGAAAAUAAUCACACCCAUAAACGUAAACCCAACAUUCAUCACCAAAAUUGACAAUAACUUCAUUGUCAAUCAUAAAAAAUAAAAGACAUACCACCAUCAAUUUUAUCAACCAAUCAUAAAUUCUUCAAUAUUGUGAAUUUCAUUCAAGCUCGGAACGGAGAAUGGUGAAAAUAAAAGGUUGAUCAGUGAAAGAAAUGAAGUGGGUUUGAUAAAAAAAAAUAGUUAGAGAAGAGAAGAUUAAUGUCAUAAAGAAGAAAAAAAGAAAUAGGAAAAGUUGUCC
RNAcentral lists this long non-coding RNA (1471 nucleotides) under Capsicum annuum. Its description in RNAcentral is "long non-coding RNA (CANN_LNC018848)". Lineage: Eukaryota; Viridiplantae; Streptophyta; Magnoliopsida; Solanales; Solanaceae. The record is from RNAcentral.